This 273-nucleotide ribosomal RNA is filed under the name uncultured bacterium. Its description in RNAcentral is "partial 16S ribosomal RNA". It matches the Rfam family "Bacterial small subunit ribosomal RNA", at positions 524 to 796 of the family's 1533-position model. The record is from RNAcentral.
UACAGAGGGUGCGAGCGUUAAUCGGAUUUACUGGGCGUAAAGCGUGCGUAGGCGGCUUCGUAAGUUGGAUGUGAAAUCCCCGAGCUUAACUUGGGAAUUGCAUUCAAAACUGCGAGGCUAGAGUAUGGGAGAGGAUGGUAGAAUUCCAGGUGUAGCGGUGAAAUGCGUAGAGAUCUGGAGGAAUACCGAUGGCGAAGGCAGCCAUCUGGCCUAAUACUGACGCUGAGGUACGAAAGCAUGGGGAGCAAACAGGAUUAGAUACCCCCGUAGUCC